This 222-nucleotide ribosomal RNA is filed under the name uncultured Isochrysis. RNAcentral describes it as "partial Bacterial large subunit ribosomal RNA". It matches the Rfam family "Bacterial large subunit ribosomal RNA", at positions 915 to 1134 of the family's 2925-position model. Lineage: Eukaryota; Haptophyta; Isochrysidales. The record is from RNAcentral.
AGGACUAGGGGGAGCCAAAUCCUACCAAAUCCUGACGAACUCCGAAUGCUAACAGAUAUACCAUGCAGUGAGGGCAAGGGUGCUAAGGUCCUUGUCCGAGAGGGAAAGAACCCAGACCUUCAGCUAAGGUCCCAAAAUCUAUACUAAGUUGAACUAAGGCGGUCCAGUUGCUUAGACAGCCAGGAUGUUGGCUUGGAAGCAGCCAUUCAUUUAAAGAGUGCG